RNAcentral lists this ribosomal RNA (491 nucleotides) under Oribius sp. 1 MB-2015. Its description in RNAcentral is "partial 16S ribosomal RNA". The record is from RNAcentral. Lineage: Eukaryota; Metazoa; Arthropoda; Insecta; Coleoptera; Curculionidae.
CGAACAGACCUAAAUUAUUUAGCUUCUACACCAAAUUUAUAUUUUAAUCCAACAUCGARGUCGCAAUCUCUUUUUUCGAUUAGAACUCUCAAAAAAAAUUACGCUGUUAUCCCUAARGUAAUUUAAUCUUUUAAUCUUCUAUAARGAUCAUUUACCCAUAAAUAAAUGUAAUCAAUAAAAAAAAGUUCAUUAAAUUUUUCAAUCACCCCAACUAAAUUAAUAUUCCUAUUAAAAAAUUUUAAUACUAAAAUUUUUAUCAAAAAUAAUUAAUAAAACUCUAUAGGGUCUUCUCGUCUUUAAUUAAUAUUUAAGCUUUUUAACUUAAAAAUAAAUUUCAAUAAAAUUUAAACAGAGACAGUUAUUUUUUCAUCCAACCUUUCAUACCAGCUUUCAAUUAAAAAACUAUUGAUUAUGCUACCUUUGCACGGUCAAAAUACCGCGGCCAUUUAAAUACUCAUUGGGCAGGUAARACCUUAAAUUAUUAUCAAAAG